This 260-nucleotide unclassified non-coding RNA is filed under the name Hevea brasiliensis (rubber tree). The record is from RNAcentral. Lineage: Eukaryota; Viridiplantae; Streptophyta; Magnoliopsida; Malpighiales; Euphorbiaceae.
GCCCAGUUAAUAGCAUCAUCAAUAUGCAGCUAUCACAUGCCAUUUGUAUGCGUGGUUUAGGGUAUGGCCUCAGUCCAGCUCCUAGAACUUCUAAAAUCCAAGCAUCAAACCCCUUGACCAGACAUGAAGCAUGCAAACAAGGACUGGACAACAACAUCCGUGAUCAAUAAGUUUUUGAAGCAGGAAACAAGCAAUCAUUCAGAUAAUUGGGGUUUCCAAAAACAUAAUUACCACAGGACUCAGGAGAGAGAUCAUAUCCA